AUUGAACGCUGGCGGCAGGCCUAACACAUGCAAGUCGAACGAGUGGCGGACGGGUGAGUAAUGUCUGGGAAACUGCCCGAUGGAGGGGGAUAACUACUGGAAACGGUAGCUAAUACCGCAUACCAUCGGAUGUGCCCAGAUGGGAUUAGCUAGUAGGGGGGGUACCGGCUCACCUAGGCGACGAUCCCUAGCUGGUCUGAGAGGAUGACCAGCCACACUGGAACUUGGACACGGUCCAGACGCCGACGGGAGGCAGAAGUGGGGAAUAUUGCACAAUGGGCGCAAGCCUGAUGCAGCCAUGCCGCGUGUAUGAAGAAGGCCUUCGGGUUGUAAAGUACUUUCAGCGGGGAGGCGUUACCCGCAGAAGAAGCACCGGCUAACCCCGUGGCAGCAGCCGCGGUAAUUC
This 406-nucleotide ribosomal RNA is filed under the name uncultured bacterium. RNAcentral describes it as "partial 16S ribosomal RNA". It matches the Rfam family "Bacterial small subunit ribosomal RNA", at positions 29 to 526 of the family's 1533-position model. The record is from RNAcentral.